This is a long non-coding RNA of Manis pentadactyla (Chinese pangolin), 4646 nucleotides long. RefSeq lists it as uncharacterized. The record is from RefSeq and is a predicted model, not a curated record. Lineage: Eukaryota; Metazoa; Chordata; Mammalia; Pholidota; Manidae. The transcript is spliced from 6 exons.
AGCAACAGACUGCUAUGUCACCAGAGCGAAGGAAGAGAAGGCCAGACAGCCCAGGGAGAUGUGAGCAGCCUUCACAGCAGAAAGACGGCUGAAGUCCACAGUACUCCAGAGUAGACUAGGAGAGAGGUUCAGAGGCACUUUUGAUCCCAGAUGUGGAGGAGGUGAUAUUUUUUGUGGGUCCCUUAAUCACAUGGAUGUGGCAGCACCUUUCCCAACCCUCUUUCUCCCUCCCCUUUUUCUAUACUUUAGAGACUAGGCUAUAGGCAUUAUACAUGCAUCUGGAGGUGACUGUGUGUUGCCGUGUUGGCCAUGGGAGAAGGGUGGGCAUCUGGGACAGUCUAUCCUGAUAAGGGAGAAUAUAACUGAUGGAAACACAGCUUCCUCCUCCUUCCUGCCUUGAAGAAAAACAAGAUGUCUGGUGCUGCAGCAGCCAUACUGCAACCAUGAAGUAGUGAGUAUCAGAAGAGAAGCCAGCAUGCAGGAAAGACCAGGGUUUCCUGGCGGAUGCGGCCCUGAGAGUGACACGUACAGGCUGAACCAAAGCCAGCCACUGUCCAUCUCUGGACUUCCUUGUUGUAUGAGAAAAAUAAUACCCCCCCCUUUUUUUAGGCCAUUAUUUAUGGGGACUUCUUGCUGAUGAAUACAUUGCUGACUGAUAACUUUUAUUAUUUUUUAACUCAUUUUAUUUUGUUCUUAUAUAUAGGAUCUUCAAAGGAAUUUCUGAAAGUGGGUUUCUUUGAUUUUUUCUGGAAGAAAAUGGAAUGUUUAAAAAUGAUCACCCAUUUAUUCUUGCCUGGUACUGAGAAGAAUAUCCUGAAAAGCUACUAUCAGGAAGUUUACUCCCAGCCCUAUGAGGCAGACCUGCUAAAGCAGGAGUUCUUGCCUUAACUUUUAAGAGCCCUGAUGCCCGGGUCACACCCCAGGCCAAUUCCAUCAAAACUGCUGAGAACAGAACUGAGGCAUCCAUACUUUGAAAAGCUCUUGGGAUGAUCGCAAGGGGGGCCAAGGUUGAGAACCACUGGUCUGGGGAAAUGGUCUUUGCGCAAGCAAUUCCCCCACCAGACUGUUCUCUGCAUCAUCCUCUCCCCCUGCCCUGGUGCCUCCUGGCUCACUCCUGACCUGGGUUCAAACAUCACUUCUUCAGGGAUGAACCUCACACUCGAUUAUGCUCACCUUAGAUACACUCUCCUAGCUGCCUAUGCCUUUUCUUCACAGCACUUAUCUCUGUGAUUCUAUACAUUGUGAGAGUACCUGAUCAAGCUUGAUCUCCCCCAGUAGAAUGUAAGCUCCACAGGGCAGGGUUAGAGCCUGUUUUUAUUCACCAGGGCUUGACACACAGUACAGGCAGAGGACGUUUGCUGAAUGAAUGAGUGAAUGCAUGCAGACUCACUGGAAAGAAAAGGUCUUCAGAAAAAGCUAGAAGCCACACUCCAGUUGACAGAAAAGUGGACAGAGCAAGAGCUAUCCAACAGGAAGAGGAGAGUUAAAGAUGGGGAUUGAGAAAGGAAAUAAGUGCCCUUUGUUCUGGGAAAAUAAGGGACAGUUUGGAGACCAGCAGGUUAUUGGUUUCAGGUUGUGUAACAGCCAGGGCAGCCAGCAACUGGGGACACAGUUUGCAGAUCCCAGAGGGCAGGAAAUAAAGUGAAGGAAGAGGUCUGGUCAGGCCCCCGAGGAAGCUGCUGCAGGAGGGGACCCCCAAGGGAGGAUGCCCACACCCUGAGCCUUCCUGCACUGGUGGGCAGAUAUGCCCCAAACCAGAACGCUGCUGUCAGGAGGGGAAGGGAGGCUUGCCAACACCUUAUACCAAAUUACGGUUGUCCAUUCUAACAAGAAAUAUGAGCACGAUCCUGUGGGAAGAGUUCCAGUCUUGUGUCCUGAUAUUUUCGACAGAGCCCAGGAAGAUGGACUCCACCAGCACAGGAAUAUAAGCACCUGGGAAACUGAGGUGGGAAUGCUCUGAAACCAAGCACAUGAGAGCAGUAUUGGGGCAGCCUGCCGGCAGGCUCUGCAACCCCCACAAUUCCUCUAGAACCAUGACCUCUGAGAGAUUCAGGAGUUUGCUCCAUUAUCCAGCUAAUGAGUGGUGAGGCUGAGAUGUGGAUUCAUGACUGACUUAGCACUAUGCCAUUCAAAAGGCAAACGUCCAAGAAUUUUGAUGGUCCCAGGAAGCUGGCAAUUCCCAGGUACCACACCUUGUCACUUACUCCCUGCCUGAGCAUAGGAAAGACUAAGCUAGAUUUGUAAUUGGGUUAUUGCAAAUUACAUCCUACAGGCAUUUUUGCUUUGAUUCACUCUCUGACCCACCCCUCUUCUGUAACCUGGGCGUUGAAAGGCUCACGCGGGCUCCGCCUCCUCCAGCACCGUCCAGCCCCCAGCACUGCACUCCAGCACCAGGGCAGCCUCCCGGGAGGACGGAUGUGGCCAGGAGCCUGCUUCCUGCCAUACCUGCAGUUUCCCUGUUGCCUCCUCCCAGCUGCCGGGACACUCGUUGCCCUGCCGGCUUCCUGCCAGGCCGUGUGAAAGACACAGCAGCCCAGGCUCCCCCACAUCAGCCUCCUGGGUGCGUCCCCUGGGCCGGCCUCUCUGCCAGCCUGCACAGCCGGGGAGCGGGCUCUCCACCUCUGCCCAGGGCGCCUUGCAUCACCGCAGGCCGCAGUGGGAGCAGGGCUGAGAGGGAAACAGAGGAGGCAGAGAAAGGCAGAGCAGUCUCCGCGUCACUCUGGGUCCCACUCUGCCCUGCGAAGGCUGCUUGGCUAAGCGGGAAGGUCUCGGGACCAGGAGUCACAGACUGAUUCUGGACCAGGGUGGCCACCAGUCAGCGCUGCCACCUUGGGGAAGUCACCAGCUCUGAGGCUCGAAGUUCUUAUCUAUACAGGGAGGGUUGGACUAGACGGGGGGAGUUUAACCUGUGGCCCAGAGAGCCCAAGGACAUCCCAAGACGCAUUUGGGGCAGGGGUCCUGGAGCUCUGGCAAGUACUGUACAGAAUCUUGGGUGUAGUAGACAUGUUUUUUUUCUAAGUGAGUUUGGGCUUGCCAGACUCCAAAGGUAGUCUCAGGAAUCACUUUGGGGGCCUGUUCUGAAUCUUGAUGGAUAUCCAGCUGGUCCCACACACAAGAGAGGUCUCUUCUUUUCCUUCUCUCCCUAUCCCCCCUCAAAGUUUCCUAAGAGCAGGAAUAUUGCCCCAUUUUCUUCAGGCCCCUCACUCUGGAAGCUCCCCAGAUAGGAAAUGACUCAAAGGAAAGCACAGGAGGGGACAUCAGGCAAAGAGCUGGCCUUCAUCCUGCCCGGCUGCUCUGCAGUAACCAGAUAGGAAAGAUCUAGGAACACUUACGGGGACUUGCCCCGUGAAUGCAGAGCCAACUGGGCCACAGACAUUGGCUCAAGGACUUGCCAUCUAGAAGGAAACAGAACACAUCUGCAGAGAAAAGUUACCAGCGGAGGUGGAUGGCAGAGAGAUUGUCAGAAAGAGUGUGGCCCUUCUCUUCAUCAACUGGAAGCAGCCAGUUAAAAACGAUUCCCCAUGUCAGUGCCUGUGAGCAGGAGGAGCCGCCACUAGGAUGGCAAGUCAGGAGGCACUCUCCCCCCGCGGCCGUGUGCGUGCGCCCUCUCUUCAGCCUCUGACGUGCGUGCGCCCUCUCUUCAGCCUCCGACGUGCGUGCGCCCUCUCUUCAGCCUCCGACGUGCGUGAGCCCUCUCUUCAUCCUCCGACGGGGACACGUGCCUCCUCGAAGACGUGCUAAGCCGAGUGCAGUCGACGGCGGCCUUCGGAUGCCCGUGCCUCCCAGUGGGCCCUCGGACGCGGCUGCCCAAAUCUGGGCCCCGACGCAGGGCCCUCUGCUUUGGAACAUCGUUCCUGCCCGCUGAGGGGCAGCAAACUCCAAAAAGGCCUCUGUCCGCCCAGGAAAUCCCGGGACACCCUGUGAAGAGAGCAAUGCAGACAGCGACGCCUGAGAGGAGGCUCGGACGGGCUGUGGGGCACGCCUGGGUCUCAUUGGCCAGCCAGGAGGCCCGCGGAGCGAUCACCCCUUUCGCCUCUGGACCCCUAGGAGGAAGCCAAGGAGAGCGUCAGUGGGUCAAUACCCUGCAGGGGAAUUUGGAGUGUUUCAGAGUGAAAGCUCCCUGGCCGACACUUCACUUCACAGGCGAAGGAGUAGGCCAGAGAUUAGGCAGCUGCCCGGGGAAGGAGCACUUUGUGAUCUUCCUUCUGCCUAGAUCCCAAGGACCUCUUGCAUUAAUAAAGGACAACGGAGAGAAAAUUUUGGGUCCCAGAUCGUCUGUCAUCCUUUGGGAAAUUUGUUCCCAAGCUCUGGCUGGUUGUUUUGUUUUUGACAGAUGAGGCUGUGUGUUGGAAGCUUGGCCUAAAGACACACCUCAGCCAUCUUCCUCCAGCACCCCUGCAAGCUGUGGCCACUGUCCCCUCACAGCCUUCGGCUGCUCAUCUGCCCUGUGUGAGGGCACCGGGAGCUCGUCCCCGCCCUGCCCGCCCUGCCUCAGGAGGCCCCUUGCUUCUCUCCCAGCCCACUGACAAAGGACAAGGGGACAUCGAGGAAUGGUCCCUGCAGUCGCUGACCAGAGACCAGGGCCUGUCCUCUGCUCAUCACUGGCCCCACUGCUCGUAUCCCAGACCAGGCUCCUGGAAGCUAUC